Molecule: ribosomal RNA, 386 nt
Filed under: uncultured bacterium
Lineage: Bacteria
Description: bacterial SSU rRNA
Rfam family: Bacterial small subunit ribosomal RNA
Source: RNAcentral
AUUGAACGCUGGCGGCAUGCCCUACACAUGCAAGUCGAACGGCAGCACGGGGCAACCUGGUGGCGAGUGGCGAACGGGUGAGUAAUGCAUCGGAACGUGCCAUUGAGUGGGGGAUAACGUAGCGAAAGUUGCGCUAAUACCGCAUAUUCUGUGAGCAGGAAAGCAGGGGACCGCAAGGCCUUGCGCUCUUUGAGCGGCCGAUGUCAGAUUAGCUAGUUGGUGAGGUAACGGCUUACCAAGGCGACGAUCUGUAGCGGGUCUGAGAGGAUGAUCCGCCACACUGGAACUGAGACACGGUCCAGACUCCUACGGGAGGCAGCAGUGGGGAAUUUUGGACAAUGGGCGCAAGCCUGAUCCAGCCAUGCCGCGUGAGUGAAGAAGGCCUU